UUCCUGGCCACCCUGCUGUGAGCAGCUCUCCUCCUCCCAGGCCCUUCCACCUCGCCCUUCUCCCUGGCAACCACUGACCACGGAAGAACUGGGACUUCUACAACUGAUCCACAUCCUGUGUUCUUUGCACAGCGCCACCAGAAGCCAUGCUCUUCCCGGCUGACAGUGGGGGGGAACCGAGCCUCGCCAGCUGUUUUCUUCUGAACACAAUGAAUGGGCAGAUGCCAGAAUGUGGAAACCGCCAAGGCAGAAAUGGGCCCCGACCUUCAAUGCCCAGGAGCUGUAGGAAUAGGUCUUCACCGGGGGCCAGCCCUAAGCCUGACAAGCCCAAACCUAAGCCAAACCCUAAGCCCAACCCUCAGCCCAACCCCCGGCCUAAUGGGCCUAUCAGACGUGGGAGACCAAUCUGUGGACACCCCCACACCUUGAUUUCCUCCAAUCACGACCUUAUCCCCACCCCCUGGAUUGAGCCUCCUUCCUGCACAAGGACCCUUUCUACCCUGCUGGUUGCGGAGCCCUGGAGUCCAUGUACUGGAGACUGUAACGCCUGACCUGAGUGAGACCCUCUGAGCAAAGAUGCUGUUAUCAAUAAACAACAGGAAACCAUGAAAGGUUCAUGCUUUUCUCAGCACAGAUGG
Molecule: long non-coding RNA, 638 nt
Organism: Heterocephalus glaber (naked mole-rat)
Lineage: Eukaryota; Metazoa; Chordata; Mammalia; Rodentia; Bathyergidae
Source: RefSeq, a predicted model, not a curated record